GGCGGGGUUAUCACAUACAGCUGAACAGGGAGGCGGGGUUAUCACACACAGCUGAACGGGGAGGCGGGGUUAUCACAUACAGCUGACCAGGGAGGCGGGGUUAUCACACACAGCUGAACAGGGAGGCGGGGUUAUCACACACAGCUGAACAGGGAGGCGGGGUUAUCACAUACAGCUGAACAGGGAGGCGGGGUUAUCACACACAGCUGAACGGGGAGGCGGGGUUAUCACAAACAGGUGAUCAGGGAGGCGGGGUUAUCACACACAGCUGAACGGGGAGGCGGGGUUAUCACACACAGCUGAACAGGGAGGCGGGGUUAUCUCAUACAGCUGACCAGGGAGGCGGGGUUAUCGCAUACAGCUGAACAGGGAGGCGGGGUUAUCACACACAGCUGAACGGGGAGGCGGGGUUAUCACAUACAGCUGAACGGGGAGGCGGGGUUAUCACACACAGCUGAACGGGGAGGCGGGGUUAUCGCACACAGCUGAACGGGGAGGCGGGGUUAUCACAUACAGCUGACCAGGGAGGCGGGGUUAUCGCAUACAGCUGACCAGGGAGGCGGGGUUAACUAAUUUCUGUAGGGAGUGGUCUUCAGGCUGUAAACGUGGCGGCUGAGAGAGUUAUGGUGGGUAUUUUCUGCACACACUGUCAACAUUCACACUCGGUCCCUAGGUAGGCUUUACUGUCCCUCGUGCUGGGGGAGGUUUUGCCAUUCCCAUGGGACUGAGGCAUUGGUCCUUGACACAGCUGUCCCCGUGUGCCCAACAAGCACAUUCACACGCUCCUACAGCCACGAGUGGCGGUGUGCCUCCAGCAUAUGAGGUGAAGACAGAAGGGUAAGAGACUGCUAGUUACACAGUUCGAGGCUGGUCUGGGGUAUAUAACACCCUGUCUCUACCCUCCCAAUACAAAAUAACACUAUGAAUAAAAAGGCAUUAGGAUUAGCAUUAAGGAGAGUGUGACUGGGCUGGAAUGACGGCUCAUCGGUUGAGAAUAUGGCUUAAAUGUGAAGUGCAGAAUCCUGUCCAGCCCCUGGUCAUUCUGCAAUCCCACCUGGAGAACAAUGCUGAGGAAAUGCCCUGGGGACUCCAACUGUGCAGAGUCUUGAUGCCUUCUGCUUGGGCCCAUCUGCCAGCUCAAACUCCAAUCUCCUUCUUCCCAGAGAUCCCCAGACUCUGCCACUGCGACAAAUGUCACUGCUGAUGGAUCCAGGGACCAAGAGGGAGGCUUAAGGUGGCCACUGUCCAUCUUCUGCCAGACUGCCAGAGGAAGAGAGGUGACAGCUGUCUGUGGAAGGGGAUGAAC
Molecule: long non-coding RNA, 1306 nt
Filed under: Cricetulus griseus (Chinese hamster)
Lineage: Eukaryota; Metazoa; Chordata; Mammalia; Rodentia; Cricetidae
Description: lncRNA (ENSCGRG00015034060.1)
Source: RNAcentral